GUGUAUGGCCAUACGACCCUGAACGCGCCCUGUCUCAUCUGACGUAAGCUCAGCAGGGUCGGGCCUGGUUAGUACUUGCAUGGGAGAAAGUAGACAGUGGUAGAGA
RNAcentral lists this ribosomal RNA (106 nucleotides) under Meriones unguiculatus (Mongolian gerbil). The record is from RNAcentral. Lineage: Eukaryota; Metazoa; Chordata; Mammalia; Rodentia; Muridae.